AGAGAGGAUAAUAUCCUCAAAUAAUCAAGCAGCAAAUUCAAAGAAAUAUACAAUGGCAUUUUACAAAGUUGGUAUCCUUUCUCUCCUCUUAUUGUCCGGUAAGGCUUCUUUCAUAUAUUUUGCUUCUUAACAAACUUUAAAGGGAAAAAGGUUCGAAAUAUAUCUAAACUUUGACGAAAUUUACUGUAACACGUCUCAACUUUGCGAGGAUUCUAUGAUCUCCCUCGACUAUUUAUUACCGUAUUUGUAUGACAUAUAUUUGUCCAACUGGACCACUGCUUGAAUACGCGCACACUGAGCACGUAAGAGUCUGAAGUGGUCCAGGUGGAUAAAUAUAUGCCACAGAAAUACAUAAAUAAUAGAAGGGGGUCAUAGGGCCCUUGCAAAAUUAAGACGUGUUACAGCAAAUUUCGUCAAAAUUUAGGUAUAUUUUUAAUUCUUCUCCCAACUUCAAGCCAAAAAAUGUAACUUAUAUUUGGUGGUGUCAAAUGGGCAAGUUAGAUUGAAGUUGAAGGGUUAAAGUAGACGAGUUAAUGAUCUGCUAAAAACUUACUUAGGUUAAGAUGGCUUAAAUUACAGGUUAAUGAACCAACUCGCUAAACUCAUAUCUAGUUUCAACUUCUUUUUUCAUCUUGUAAGAAUUUAUAAUAUAAUGAUUAACAUAAUCUAUCCUUAAUUAUCAAAAUGUAAUAUGAUUAAAAUCUCAAUUAUUUGUAUAAUUGUACUCAUGUGUAAUAAUAAGGUCUGCCUUUACCUCGCC
Molecule: long non-coding RNA, 760 nt
Filed under: Capsicum annuum
Lineage: Eukaryota; Viridiplantae; Streptophyta; Magnoliopsida; Solanales; Solanaceae
Description: long non-coding RNA (CANN_LNC007381)
Source: RNAcentral